GGAAGGGAACGACAAGAUAAUAAAAGGAGGCUCUGGGAGACACUAAAACCUGGAUGAGGCUGCGCUGGACUUCCUUACAUAGAUCCUGUGGACAAGAGUACCAACUGCUGACAGUUGCAACCUUGACAAUGAUCAUGUCUGGUGACUGCUGAUCCAGGCUCUUAGCUGCCUGCAGCUGGAAUAUUUACAUGUGCUUUCUCCUUGUGGCUCGUGAAUGCCUCCCAACAUGGAAGGACAACCCGUCCCCAGCCCCAGGAAGAAAAUGUGGAUCGCCUUAAACCCCAGCCAGGUCUCUUCAUUCCCUUCGCUUGUGCCUGGUUUGGAAGGUCCAUUUGCUAAAACAGAGCAAGUUUGCUGAGGCUUCUUGGAGAGAUCACCCUCCCUCAUGUAGAGACUCUGAAAAGAACCUGUCCUGCAGGAUUUUGUCUGUGAUAAUGACAGGACCUGAAGCUUAAGCCACCUCAGCCUUCGUGUUACUCACGGGGAAGAUUCAGGAAACUUCAGAGACCUGACUUUGUUAAGCCACUGA
This is a long non-coding RNA of Suricata suricatta (meerkat), 529 nucleotides long. RefSeq lists it as uncharacterized. The transcript is spliced from 4 exons. The record is from RefSeq and is a predicted model, not a curated record. NCBI's taxonomy places the organism in Eukaryota, Metazoa, Chordata, Mammalia, Carnivora, Herpestidae.